Rosa chinensis is the source of this 948-nucleotide long non-coding RNA. RefSeq lists it as uncharacterized. The transcript is spliced from 4 exons. The record is from RefSeq and is a predicted model, not a curated record. Lineage: Eukaryota; Viridiplantae; Streptophyta; Magnoliopsida; Rosales; Rosaceae.
GUCAUCUAUCUCACACGCAAAGCCCAGCUUUUCCGUCAAAUUGGGUAAAGGGAAAGGAAACCUCGAUCAACAACUCUGUUCCAUGUUACCAACAUACAGAUGGAAACUCCUCCAAGAACAUCACUCCAAACAUUCAAAAGGGAGAAUCCAAACCAGAGGUCAUCGUCCACCCUCCUCUUCUCACCCUUUCUCUCUUUCCUGGGCAUAUCAGUGUGUUUUCAUGCCCAGAAACUCCUAGUUAGGAACCUCCGAUAAAAAAACUUUCUUCAUCAAAGUUGUUCCCCUAUGUCUCUGCUAUUUAGUCUCCAAAUUUCAGCUCCAUCGGAGUCGAUUUGAGACCUAUACACCCCUCGAAGAAGAAGCUGUUCGGAAGCGAGCCUAUUCCGGAUUUCUGCUUGAAUUCCCUCUCUUGCUCUACCCGAAUCCCCCACAUCUUGCUUGAGACUGAUACCAACAAUUGAUUGAGCGAAUUUCUUGGCCAGCAACUGGGCACAAUCCAAUCAACUCUCUCAUCUCCCUUUCCUGUUGAAGCCCUCAAGAAAAACUCACCUUUUUGGUUAGUCUUUGGAUCUUGUGAAGUGGUGGUUACUACAAGGUUGCAUUGAGGCCAAGUGCUGCAAGAGAAAGCUCGAGUUCUAGAUGGACGGUUAUGAUGGAAGUUGUGGAAGAAGAUCAAUUGCCGUGGGAUUGUAAUUACGUGGUGACGAUCACGUGGAAUCGCAAACCGGUUUUUAUCUAUUACUUUUUAUCAAAGCGAUAACUCAUGUUUUUUAAACUUAGAUAUGGGGGCGGGCAUGGGCAAUGACUGGAUGUAGGAGCCUAACCCCUAAUUUAGUUUGUUUUGCAAGCUGUUGUUGUCGAACCUUGGGUACAGAGGAUAAUCCUUGGAGGCCACAAUUUGUUUUUUUUUUAAGUUUAUUUUUAUUUGGCUUGUUCGAUCUCGUUAAA